RNAcentral lists this ribosomal RNA (473 nucleotides) under uncultured bacterium. RNAcentral describes it as "SSU rRNA". It matches the Rfam family "Bacterial small subunit ribosomal RNA", at positions 26 to 518 of the family's 1533-position model. The record is from RNAcentral.
AGGAUAAACGCUGGCGGCGUGCAUGAGACAUGCAAGUCGAACGGACGAUCAGGGCUUGCUCUGAUCGUUAGUGGCGGACGGCUGAGUAACGCGUAGGUGACCUGCCCCGAAGUGGGGAAUAACUGCCCGAAAGGGUGGCUAAUACCGCAUGUGGUGGUGUGUUCAUUCACACCAGUAAAGCCGCAAGGCGCUUCGGGAGGGGCCUGCGUCCGAUUAGCUCGUUGGUGGGGUAACGGCUCACCAAGGCGACGAUCGGUAGGUGGUCUGAGAGGACGAUCACCCAGACUGGGACUGAGACACGGCCCAGACUCCUACGGGAGGCAGCAGUCGGGAAUUUUGCGCAAUGGACGAAAGUCUGACGCAGCAACGCCGCGUGAGGGAUGAAGGCCUUCGGGUUGUAAACCUCUUUUAUCAGGGAAGAUAAUGACGGUACCUGGCGAAUAAGCCACGGCUAACUACGUGCCAGCAGCCGC